Molecule: long non-coding RNA, 1026 nt
Organism: Macrobrachium nipponense
Lineage: Eukaryota; Metazoa; Arthropoda; Malacostraca; Decapoda; Palaemonidae
Exons: 4
Source: RefSeq, a predicted model, not a curated record
CCCAGUAUCGUUAUGUUGCUAAGGAAGUUCGAUGGUGUACUGAGUGCGCGGAAACAGAGCUUAUCAGUAAGCGUUAACGGAAAUGCUAAGUGAGACCCAAUUCCCUGUAAUGUCAGUGCGCAAGUGCAAAAAAGAAAGGAAAUUGCGGUCGAAGACUGACACUGGUUACUGAAGAGAAGGGAGAUGGUAGCAACGGUUGGAUUUGUAAGCUAGUUUUUUUAGAAAUUAAAGUCAUUUUCACAGCUAGGCCUACGUUUAAACUUGGGCAUGAUGUUUAUCAUCAAAUAGUUUAAAUGGCCCGACUCCAGGUGCACGACUUGCGGCAGGCUAGCCAGUUUAAAGGCUGAUUCACAUUGCGUCUAAAUCACUAGGUUGAAAUAACGAAAUGCUACGCCGCAUAUGUUUAGCCACUAGCGGGCAAUUUUUACCGUGAUCCUUUGUUUGAUGACCUACUCCAAAAACCGAGAAGGGCAAGUGGUCUACAGAACUGUGCAUAUGUCCGUAUUGACAGGUGUGGGACCCUAGUCAAGCGAGGUUUUGAUUCUCAUGUAAAUUAUUCACGCCCAAGUCAUGCUGAAAAUAAUGGACAGUGCCUAGACUGAUAUUUGGACAGUGCUUAAAAGGAUAUUUGAAAUAGCAUAACGUUCAUUGAAGCCCAGCUACGUCGUACAUUCUCAUCCUGGAUAGGUUAUUCCUCUCCUGGUAAAUGUUCAGUGUUCUUGAUCUUCGGCUUGACCUUCAAGAAUAGAUGCCAUUCACCAUUCUCUUAUCAUACUGCAAGAGUGGCUCAAUUUUCAAAUAAUUUGAAGACCCCUGCUUGGAACACCGGCAUCGAAUGAACUUCUUGUCCCUUACAUUUAAUGCCUAAGUUGAGUAUAGUAUGUAUGUAAUUGAUAAUUAUAUAUAAUUAAUUUUUAUAUGUUGGCUUUUUAUCCCAUUCAUUGUUUUCUUCUAUGUUUGCCAUUUAUUGUGAUCCCUUCUUCCUGUCGAACCUCAGAUUUCUAGCUUUCUCUCUCCCUACAUAUU